CAGCAGCCGCGGUAAUACAGAGGGUGCGAGCGUUAAUCGGAUUUACUGGGCGUAAAACGUGCGUAGGCGGCUUUUUAAGUCGGAUGUGAAAUCCCUGAGCUUAACUUAGGAAUUGCAUUCGAUACUGCGAAGCUAGAGUAUGGGAGAGGAUGGUAGAAUUCUAGGUGUAGCGGUGAAAUGCGUAGAGAUCUGGAGGAAUACCGAUGGCGAAGGCAGCCAUCUGGCCUAAUACUGACGCUGAGGUACGAAAGCAUGGGGAGCAAACAGGAUUAGAUACCCCAGUAGUCCCUGUCUCUUAUAC
Molecule: ribosomal RNA, 301 nt
Filed under: uncultured bacterium
Lineage: Bacteria
Description: partial 16S ribosomal RNA
Rfam family: Bacterial small subunit ribosomal RNA
Source: RNAcentral